GGGUUCUGCAUUUCUCUCUCUUUUCUCUGCCAUGGGUCUCUGUUUCACCAGAACCCGCGACAUUCCAAUCGAUUCCUUCUCCUAUGGCUCAGACACAACUCUCCCAACCAAACCUCAAUCGCAAGACCCACCAAAGCCACCGCCAAAGCCGCAGUCUAUUCCCUCUUACAAGUCCGUUCCGCCGUCGCAGAUUGGCCCAAUCACCGGCCGCCCCUACAUCAACAUAACCACAAUCUACGAACUCCACAAGGAGCUUGGUCGAGGUCAGUUCGGGAUUACUUAUCUUUGUACCGAGAAAGCCACGGGUCGUAAAUACGCUUGCAAAACGAUUUCGAGGAGAAAAAUGGUGAAUCCGAAGGACAUCGAAGAUGUGAGAAGGGAGAUUUUGAUUCUGCAGCAUUUGACUGGACAACCGAACAUCGUGGAGUUUAAAGGGGCGUAUGAGGAUAAGAGGAAUUUGCAUCUGAUUAUGGAGCUGUGUUCCGGCGGAGAGCUUUUCGAUCGGAUUAUCAAGAAGAAGAGUUACUCGGAACGGGAAGCGGCGUCGAUUUGUAAGCAGAUUUUGAAUGUGGUUCAUGCUUGCCAUUUUAUGGGGGUUAUGCACAGGGAUUUGAAGCCUGAGAACUUCCUGAUGGUCAGUCAAGACGAUGAUUCGCCGAUUAAGGCUACCGAUUUUGGACUCUCUGUUUUCAUCGAAGAAGGCAAAGUAUACAAAGACAUAGUUGGAAGUGCAUAUUAUAUUGCCC
RNAcentral lists this unclassified non-coding RNA (746 nucleotides) under Hevea brasiliensis (rubber tree). The record is from RNAcentral. Lineage: Eukaryota; Viridiplantae; Streptophyta; Magnoliopsida; Malpighiales; Euphorbiaceae.